This is a non-coding RNA of Arachis ipaensis, 916 nucleotides long. The record is from RefSeq and is a predicted model, not a curated record. NCBI's taxonomy places the organism in Eukaryota, Viridiplantae, Streptophyta, Magnoliopsida, Fabales, Fabaceae.
AUUUUUCAAUUUUCACCCUAGAUGUCAGCAGCCUCACCUUCUUCCCCUGCCUCCAACUGCUGCUUCUCCUCUCCAACAACAGUGGCGCCGCAUCCAACUACUCCAAGGUUCCCUGCGUUUUCGCCGGCGCCAGCCGCUAGUUCGCCGCCGUUCGUCCAGCGCUCUGACCCUCACAACCCGCCGUUCUUUGACGGUGCGUUCGACUUCGCAUUCUCUGCAAGGCUCGACGAGGCGCUAUUCCCGGCGAUAUUCGCUACAGAGAUGGAUCGCCGUGCCAGAUCUGGUGGCUUGUGUAUUGUCGCCGUCGCGAGUGCGGGGAUGAUGAGGUGAGGGAGGUCGUUUAUCUGUUCAGUAAUGUUACCUUGGCUGGAAUGAGAAUGACAAAUGAUAUAUACAUAGAAGUUGUAGAUUGAUAAUGUCAUGGGUAAUUCAGUUUGCUGCAUUGCAUUACUAAGUAUCUAUUGUUCUAAUGAAUAAAAAAAUAUAAAUUGAUAUGAAUCGAACAGGUUCUGCUUUGUGAACAGGUUUUGCACUUGACUAUGGAAUAGGUAAGUGUUGUUGUUGAAAUUAUUGCUAAAAAUGGAUUUGUUAUGCUGCUACUGCUAUAAAUUAAUUUCUUUCUAGCUCUUAACCUCUUGUUAGGAAGUUUCACAUGCCACAUACUUAAUUCUGUGUUGUAUGUAUUGCAAAGGGUACAAUAAAACUAGGCCGGUUAGCAAAGGAAUUAGCAGCCGAUGUAAAUAUUAAACACAAAGCCAAAGGACUGCUUCCUCGUCCAAUGGGUUAUGUAACAAUUAAGUGUCAAUUUUAGUUGUGUCAUUCCUUUAGUAAUUAUUUGGCAAAAGAAUUUCUCUUAUUGCUCAAAAGAAUUCCUUACCUUAUCUAAUAUCCAUACAAAGAAAACAUAAUUUAAACC